RNAcentral lists this ribosomal RNA (253 nucleotides) under uncultured bacterium. RNAcentral's name for it is "partial 16S ribosomal RNA". It matches the Rfam family "Bacterial small subunit ribosomal RNA", at positions 524 to 776 of the family's 1533-position model. The record is from RNAcentral.
UACGUAGGUCCCGAGCGUUGUCCGGAUUUAUUGGGUUUAAAGGGAGCGUAGGCGGGUUGUUAAGUCAGUUGUGAAAGUUUGCGGCUCAACCGUAAAAUUGCAGUUGAUACUGGCAUCCUUGAGUACAGUAGAGGUAGGCGGAAUUCGUGGUGUAGCGGUGAAAUGCUUAGAUAUCACGAAGAACUCCGAUUGCGAAGGCAGCCUGCUGGACUGUGACUGACGCUGAUGCUCGAAAGUGUGGGUAUCGAACAGG